Molecule: ribosomal RNA, 506 nt
Filed under: uncultured bacterium
Lineage: Bacteria
Description: partial 16S ribosomal RNA
Rfam family: Bacterial small subunit ribosomal RNA
Source: RNAcentral
GAUGAACGCUAGCGGCAGGCCUAACACAUGCAAGUCGAGGGGUAACUAGAGUGAUAGCAAUAUUACUUUGGCUAGACCGGCGCACGGGUGCGUAACACGUAUGCAACCUACCUUAUACUGGGGAAUAACUUCGAGAAAUCGGCGCUAAUACCCCAUAACAUUGCGAAGAGGCAUCUCUUUGCAAUUAAAGCUCCGGCGGUAUAAGAUGGGCAUGCGUCCAAUUAGCUAGUUGGUGAGGUAACGGCUCACCAAGGCUACGAUUGGUAGGGGUUCUGAGAGGAUGAUCCCCCACACUUGUACUGAGACACGGACCAGACUCCUACGGGAGGCAGCAGUGAGGAAUAUUGCGCAAUGGACGAAAGUCUGACGCAGCCAUGCCGCGUGCAGGAUGACGGCCCUAUGGGUUGUAAACUGCUUUUGUACGGGAAUAAACCCUUCUACGUGUAGGAAGCUGAAGGUACCGUAAGAAUAAGCACCGGCUAACUCCGUGCCAGCAGCCGCAGUAA